AUGUGCAGUAAAAAUAAAUAUGCUGAAGAAAAGAAAGAAAGGUGGAGGAGCUUGAGCAGACAAACACGAGGGCAAGGAAGUGACUGGCCUUCCUUAAAAGGAAUUAAAGCAUCGUGUUGUGGAGAUGCUGUAUGUUUCGUUGUGAAAGUGAAAACUACUUUGUUUGGCCCUCCAAAAGAGGACAAUAUCCGCUUCGUCAUGCCUAGAGCUGAUCUGUGCUGGUCACCAAGGAAAUACAUCAGCUUCGCGCUGUGGAUCACCGGAUCAGCUUUUACUGUGGAUGAAGCGGAGUCCAGCCCGGGGUCAUCACAUGUGGUUGCCAUAAGCCCGCCGGACACUGAAUCUGCUGGCUGCACCGUUCUCAAGACCACCGACUGUUUCUCACUCAAGCCCGCCACGUGUGAUGCUGUGUGUUUCGUUGUGAAAGCAAAACUACUUUGUUUUGCCUCCCAAAAGAGGACACGACUAGAAAUCAGUGGUUAAGUUGUUUUUACAACACUGUUCCAAAACAGUUCAAUGCAAAUAUUCAGAUGUGUGGAGCACAUUUUAUGGAGGACUGUUUCCUGAACCUGCAGUAGCCUACAAUGCUUCUGUUCUCAAAGGCUGUUCUAUAAAGUGGGGCAGUUCCAACUUUGCAAGGACAGUCUGGCACUUCUGACUCACAGUCUGUAAGUUUUUUUUAAUAUAUAUAUAUACAUUUAAAGAAUUUGCCACUAUAUAAUAAUACAUAAUUCAACCCCCCCAAAAAAACAAUACAAUACAAAAAAAAAAAAAAAAAAAAAAAUGCAGUGAUUGAUUUAUAGUUAUUUUUAAAGCGUCCAAUGUACUCUCAUUAUAAAAAUAACUGUGUUGUUUAUUUAAUUCUAACAUGUUUUUGUUAAAAACUAACCAAAAAUGAAAAAAAAAAAAAGUUUAUAAUCAGAGAUUUUGGAGAGAUUUGGUGUCAUUUCCAAACACUGACAUUACAUUUAGUCAUUUAGCAGAUGUUUUUAUCCAAAGCGACUUACAAAUGAGGACAAUGGAAGCAAUCAAAAUCAACAAAAGAGCAAUGAUAUGCAAGUGCUAUAACAAGUCUUGGUUAGAU
Long non-coding RNA from Cyprinus carpio carpio, 1084 nucleotides. Lineage: Eukaryota; Metazoa; Chordata; Actinopteri; Cypriniformes; Cyprinidae. The record is from Ensembl.